UAUGAAGUAGUGGGUCAAGGGGAAGGAGCCCCUCCCUUGUAUGUAAUAGCUCAUUUUUACUGUAGAUGGAUAACAAAUUUUUAUAGGGGUUGUGCUAUUCUACAAUUAAUUAUAGUUCAGGUUUGGUUUCAUCAUUUGUGUUGUGUUUUAUGUCAAAUUAAUUCCUUCUUUAUUUACAGGUUACUGGGACAAACAGCUUGACUGAUUUGUUGACCAAGACUGUUUGUAGUUUGGGCUUUGUUCAACCAUAAACAAAGGAUGGCUGAACAACUAUGUCCCCUGGAUCUUUCAACUAAACCUCUUUCAGGUUUAGCCAUGAAGCUGCCUAAAAGUGCACCUUAUAACAUGCCGAAGACUGUUAUAAAGGUAUCAAUGAAGUCAAGAUCCCAUUCCUGCGAGCCACACAGUGACAAAAUAAAUGACCACAGGACAUAUCUCCCAAGCCAGCAUGUGGAGGUGGAGGUAAAUGUUGAAGAGCUAGCUCCACCUGAGGCCUCUG
Molecule: long non-coding RNA, 499 nt
Organism: Eriocheir sinensis (Chinese mitten crab)
Lineage: Eukaryota; Metazoa; Arthropoda; Malacostraca; Decapoda; Varunidae
Exons: 3
Source: RefSeq, a predicted model, not a curated record